AUAUAAGCUGCAACUAUGUCUAGGGACUAGGAACAGAAAAAGAGAAAAACUUCCUCCUACUGGCCACCUGGAGACCAUCCACCUGGAAAUAUACCAGAUGGAGACUGGAUUGGGGAGCACAUUAAUAAUAUGAGCCAAGUAGUGGGCACAUAAUAAGUGAUCAAUUAAUGUUGACUAAAUAUAUGAAUGAAUAAAGAAAUGAGUGAACUAAAGAACAUCAAGUUCUCCCUCAGAUGAGAAAACCAAAAGCCAGAAAAUUAACCAACUGGCCCAAAGUCAUACAGACAGAUGGCAACAAAACUGGGAUUUAAAGUUGUCUGUCUCAUUUCAAAUCAUAUAAUUUUUUUAUUAUGCUAUUUCGCUCUCAGGGGAAGUUCAAAGGUGUUGUGCACCAACUGUUGCUAAUUCCUAGUCUCAUUAGGAGCAUUAUAAAUAAAUACUGUAAUUUUAGAUAGUAACAAAUUCUGUGAAGAAAAUGAAACAGAAUGCUGCCAUAAAGAGCUAUUGCAGGAGAGAGAUGAAAGACAUCAAAUAAGGCCAACUUCACUGAGGAAGUAACAUUUGAGCUAAAACAAGCAAAAGAAUUCAGAUAAAUAAAGAUCUAGGGGAACACAAAAGAAAAUAUUUUGAGGAAGGGCAGGCUCGCUCUGUUUCAGGACCAGCAAAAAGAUCACUCUCUGGGGACUAAAUGAAUAUGGAAGGGAUUGAUAAAGAUGAAGACACAUCUAACAGUGACCUGUAAACCAGGAGACAGUGAUUAGAUUUUAUACUGUAAUGAAAACCAUUAGAAGACUUUAAGCAAAGAAAUGUAAUAAUUUAAUUCACACUAAAAAGUGAAAACUAGUUUACAUUUUGUGUGAGGAACAGGCUGUAAGAGGACAACAGUGAAAGCAAAUAAAGCAGUAAGAAGAAAAUACAGAUGAGAGGUUAUUGAGGCCUAGAAGUAGGAUAGAUAGUUGUGGAAUUGGUAAGACAUAGUUGUAUUUGAAAAGCAUUUUCAAAAUAGAGCUGAUAAGAGUUGCUCAUGGAUUAGAUAUAAGGAAUAAGCUAGAAAGAGAAAUCAAGAUUUUUUUAAUAGAGUAAGAAUAUUAAAUUGAGUAAAUAAAUUAACUUGAGAAAAUUUAAUUCCAAUCAGUUUCAUGGGGAAGAUUGAGAAAGAGAUGGCAAUUUUGCAGGAGGUGGGAAAGGGAAUGAGGAGGUGGAAUUAUAUUUGGACAUGUUAAGUUUCAGAUGCUUAUUCAACAUUCUAAUGAAGACGCCAAGCAGGCAGUUGCAUAUAGGAGUUUGGAGUUCAGACUUUUUCAACACCCUUAAAAGUAUGUUCACCUAUUCUUCUCAUGUACCUUCAAGCCAAUGGACCAGAUAAAAGGUUGCAAGAAAUUGUUAGCUUAACACCCUUUUCGUUACCCCCGUACCAUUAGAGAAAUAGGGUGCCUCAUAUAGCACUAUGAAAAGCUUUUACAAAACUGUAGUUCAUGUCUCCACCCAGAUAAUGCCCAUAAAGUAAAAGCAUGGCUUUCGACACCAAUAAUUUCCUAUACCCGUAUAGGCCAGUCCAGAGCCAGUAAUUUUUUUAAAAAAGCCUAGUAUAUCUAUCUAUUGCCAACAGGUAGCCCCUUAAUGUAACAGACUUUUAGAUGUAUAUGUAACAGAUAUAGAUGGCUUUCACCCUUUAGUAUGCUAUUGUGAAGAGAAAGCUAGUUUAGACAUCAGAAGUGAAUCUGAAUCCUGUGUUCCUUCAAUAUAUCUGACAUUGGGUAGCUACUUUGGGUCUUAUUUGACUAAUCUAUAAAACAGAGACAUUAAUCGUACCUAUCUUAUAGGAUUACUAUUAGUAUUGAAUCACAUAAUCCAUGGAAACCCUUAACACGAUGCUCA
RNAcentral lists this long non-coding RNA (1878 nucleotides) under Homo sapiens (human). RNAcentral's name for it is "HSALNT0285431". Lineage: Eukaryota; Metazoa; Chordata; Mammalia; Primates; Hominidae. The record is from RNAcentral.